UGAUGCAAUGGGUCAGGGCAUCUGGCUAUUAACCAGAAGGUUGUUGGUUCGAGCCCACCCAGGGAAG
Molecule: transfer RNA, 67 nt
Filed under: Podarcis lilfordi (Lilford's wall lizard)
Lineage: Eukaryota; Metazoa; Chordata; Lepidosauria; Squamata; Lacertidae
Description: tRNA.Asn
Source: RNAcentral